This 1498-nucleotide ribosomal RNA is filed under the name Shigella sonnei. Its description in RNAcentral is "partial 23S ribosomal RNA". It matches the Rfam family "Bacterial large subunit ribosomal RNA", at positions 1438 to 2915 of the family's 2925-position model. The record is from RNAcentral. Lineage: Bacteria; Pseudomonadati; Pseudomonadota; Gammaproteobacteria; Enterobacterales; Enterobacteriaceae.
CCUGUACUUGGUGUUACUGCGAAGGGGGGACGGAGAAGGCUAUGUUGGCCGGGCGACGGUUGUCCCGGUUUAAGCGUGUAGGCUGGUUUUCCAGGCAAAUCCGGAAAAUCAAGGCUGAGGCGUGAUGACGAGGCACUACGGUGCUGAAGCAACAAAUGCCCUGCUUCCAGGAAAAGCCUCUAAGCAUCAGGUAACAUCAAAUCGUACCCCAAACCGACACAGGUGGUCAGGUAGAGAAUACCAAGGCGCUUGAGAGAACUCGGGUGAAGGAACUAGGCAAAAUGGUGCCGUAACUUCGGGAGAAGGCACGCUGAUAUGUAGGUGAAGUCCCUUGCGGAUGGAGCUGAAAUCAGUCGAAGAUACCAGCUGGCUGCAACUGUUUAUUAAAAACACAGCACUGUGCAAACACGAAAGUGGACGUAUACGGUGUGACGCCUGCCCGGUGCCGGAAGGUUAAUUGAUGGGGUCAGCGCAAGCGAAGCUCUUGAUCGAAGCCCCGGUAAACGGCGGCCGUAACUAUAACGGUCCUAAGGUAGCGAAAUUCCUUGUCGGGUAAGUUCCGACCUGCACGAAUGGCGUAAUGAUGGCCAGGCUGUCUCCACCCGAGACUCAGUGAAAUUGAACUCGCUGUGAAGAUGCAGUGUACCCGCGGCAAGACGGAAAGACCCCGUGAACCUUUACUAUAGCUUGACACUGAACAUUGAGCCUUGAUGUGUAGGAUAGGUGGGAGGCUUUGAAGUGUGGACGCCAGUCUGCAUGGAGCCGGCCUUGAAAUACCACCCUUUAAUGUUUGAUGUUCUAACGUGGACCCGUGAUCCGGGUUGCGGACAGUGUCUGGUGGGUAGUUUGACUGGGGCGGUCUCCUCCUAAAGAGUAACGGAGGAGCACGAAGGUUGGCUAAUCCUGGUCGGACAUCAGGAGGUUAGUGCAAUGGCAUAAGCCAGCUUGACUGCGAGCGUGACGGCGCGAGCAGGUGCGAAAGCAGGUCAUAGUGAUCCGGUGGUUCUGAAUGGAAGGGCCAUCGCUCAACGGAUAAAAGGUACUCCGGGGAUAACAGGCUGAUACCGCCCAAGAGUUCAUAUCGACGGCGGUGUUUGGCACCUCGAUGUCGGCUCAUCACAUCCUGGGGCUGAAGUAGGUCCCAAGGGUAUGGCUGUUCGCCAUUUAAAGUGGUACGCGAGCUGGGUUUAGAACGUCGUGAGACAGUUCGGUCCCUAUCUGCCGUGGGCGCUGGAGAACUGAGGGGGGCUGCUCCUAGUACGAGAGGACCGGAGUGGACGCAUCACUGGUGUUCGGGUUGUCAUGCCAAUGGCACUGCCCGGUAGCUAAAUGCGGAAGAGAUAAGUGCUGAAAGCAUCUAAGCACGAAACUUGCCCCGAGAUGAGUUCUCCCUGACCCUUUAAGGGUCCUGAAGGAACGUUGAAGACGACGACGUUGAUAGGCCGGGUGUGUAAGCGCAGCGAUGCGUUGAGCUAACCGGUACUAAUGAACCGUGAGG